GAAGCCUUGUCUGCGUCCUCCAGGGCCCACCUGUACCUCUGCUGAUUAGUGAGCAGUCACAGCCCCAAUUAGAGAACAGAGGAACCUGGAGAGACAACACUCUUUAUUUAAUUGGAUUGUGUUGCAGUCGGAGGCUUCUCACCGGCAACAUAGUUCUCCCCUGCAGUAACAUGUGGCGCAAAACAAAGACAUCACGGCUGUUGUGUGGACUGGUGCUCCACCACCAGAUGCCUAAGGGACACUCGCUGGCUGCUCUGUGCUGCCAGGAUCCAGACAGUCCACUCUCUUUCUUUGCAGUCAGUCAGACACCCUCAACUCCCCAACUCCCACAGCCCCCGUCACUCCCGCCUCUGUCUAAUUACCAAACCUAAAACCCCACUCAACUAAUUAGCCACAGCAGACCCAGGAACUGUGAGUAAAGGUAAAGAGAUGGCUUCAUUCAGAAGUGUGUGCGCGUGGGAGCUAGAUUGUGUGUGACAGAGACAAGAAAGAAGGUGAAAUGGAAUAUUUGAGCCUCCUUAAAAGGAGCACAUCUCUACAGCCAAUUAAAGUCAUUUAUUAAACUCUGCAAAAGCUGCUGAGUUGGACUGUC
Nerophis ophidion (straightnose pipefish) is the source of this 592-nucleotide long non-coding RNA. RefSeq lists it as uncharacterized. The transcript is spliced from 2 exons. The record is from RefSeq and is a predicted model, not a curated record. Lineage: Eukaryota; Metazoa; Chordata; Actinopteri; Syngnathiformes; Syngnathidae.